UUUCCGUAGGUGAACCUGCGGAAGGAUCAUUAAAAAUAUCACAGUUUAUGUGUGAUUAAUAAUCAUCCUACCCUUUGUGAAUUUGUUUUGUUGAAAAUUUAUGUGUCUAUCCCUGAUGGUUUUUGGAAAGUUGAAAAACUUUUUCAAAUCCUCAGGACUAGGCUUUCAUAGACCUUUUUUAAAUUAAACUUUUGUAUUCAUUUGUCUAAAUUAUUUUAAUAAUUUAAAAACAACUUUUGACAAUGGAUCUCUUGGUUCUCGCAACGAUGAAGAACGCAGCAAAAUGCGAUAAGUAAUGUGAAUUGCAGAAUACGUGAAUCAUCAAAUCUUCGAACGCAUAUUGCACUUUCUAGUUUACUAGAAAGUAUGUCUGUUUGAGUAUCAGUAAAAUAUUCUCAUAAAAACAUUGUUUUUUAUGGUUAUGAGUGUUUUACAACGAUAAACAAGUGUUUCACUUUAAAUUGAUUUUUAAAGCCAAUUUGGUUUAUCUAAUAAAAUUGGAUAAAAUUUCCCGUAAAAAGGAAUAAACUUUCAGUUUUAAAGAUAAAACUUUUAAUUGAGCCUAAUUAAAAGGAAAUUUAACUAAAUAACUUGAUCUCAAAUCAGAUAAGAGUACCGCUGAACUUAAGCAUAUCAAUAAGCGGAGGAAAAGAAACUAACAAGAUUCCUUAGUAACGGCGAGUGAAGCGGGAAGAGCUCAAAUUUGAAAUCUUCAAGUUCUACCUUGACGAAUUGUAGUUUAUAGAAGUGUUUUCUGUUAGUGGAGUGCAAAAGUUCUUUGGAAUAGGACAUCAUAGAGGGUGAGAAUCCCGUAUUUGGUCAUUCCUCUAGCGUUGUGAUACACUUUCAACGAGUCGGAUUGUUUGGGAAUGCAGUCCAAAUGGGUGGUAAAUUUCAUCUAAAGCUAAAUAUUGGCGAGAGACCGAUAGCGAACAAGUACCGUGAGGGAAAGAUGAAAAGAACUUUGAAAGAGAGUUAAACAGUACGUGAAUUGUCAAAAGGGAAGCGUUUGACACCAGUGUUGUUUUUCCGAAAAUCAAUUACGAAUGUUUGUUUUUGAGGAGUUAUGACUUCAUCGGCUUGCUCCUUUCUUUACGAAACUUUCUUAAUGCACUUUUCGGUUAACAAGUCAACAUCAAUUUCUUUUGUUGUAAAAGGGUAUGAGGAAGGUGGCUUUCUUUUCGGAGAAAGUGUUUAUAGCCUUGUGCCUCUGCAAUCGGAGAGAUUGAGGUCUGCAGCGUAGAUCUUCGGGUUAGAUACGUUUGUGCUAAGUUAUAGCUUUCAUAGACAACUUGUUGACUAUGUUUAGUCUUGUAGCUACUCGCUUACGCUAUUU
This 1336-nucleotide unclassified non-coding RNA is filed under the name uncultured Neocallimastigales. Its description in RNAcentral is "partial contains small subunit ribosomal RNA, internal transcribed spacer 1, 5.8S ribosomal RNA, internal transcribed spacer 2, and large subunit ribosomal RNA". The stretch from base 593 to 1336 matches the Rfam family "Eukaryotic large subunit ribosomal RNA", at positions 1 to 610 of the family's 3401-position model. The record is from RNAcentral. Lineage: Eukaryota; Fungi; Neocallimastigomycota; Neocallimastigomycetes; Neocallimastigales.